Molecule: ribosomal RNA, 532 nt
Filed under: Hymenoscyphus fraxineus
Lineage: Eukaryota; Fungi; Ascomycota; Leotiomycetes; Helotiales; Helotiaceae
Description: eukaryotic LSU rRNA
Rfam family: 5.8S ribosomal RNA (bases 178-331)
Source: RNAcentral
ACCUGCGGAAGGAUCAUUACAGAGUUCCUGCCCUCACGGGUAGAAACCCCACCCUUGUGUAUAUUAUAUUGUUGCUUUAGCAGGUCGCCCUCUGGGCGUCGGCCUCGGCUGACUGUGCCUGCUAGAGGACCCUAAAUUUUGAAAUACAGUGUCGUCUGAGUACUAUUUAAUAGUUAAAACUUUCAACAACGGAUCUCUUGGUUCUGGCAUCGAUGAAGAACGCAGCGAAAUGCGAUAAGUAAUGUGAAUUGCAGAAUUCAGUGAAUCAUCGAAUCUUUGAACGCACAUUGCGCCCCUUGGUAUUCCGGGGGGCAUGCCUGUUCGAGCGUCAUUUAGACCAACUCCCGCUCCGGCGGGGUCUUGGGCUGCGCCUUUGGGCGGGCCUUAAAACCAGUGGCGGUGCCCUAAGGCUCUACGCGUAGUAAUUCUUCUCGCGAUAGGGUCCUUGCGGUGUCUUGCCAGCAACCCCCAACUCUCUAGGGUUGACCUCGGAUCAGGUAGGGAUACCCGCUGAACUUAAGCAUAUCAAUAA